GAUGAAGAACGUAGCGAAAUGCGAUAAGUAAUGUGAAUUGCAGAAUUCAGUGAAUCAUCGAAUCUUUGAACGCAUCUUGCGCUCCUUGGUAUUCCUUGGAGCAUGCCUGUUUGAGUAUCAUGAGCAAACCUCAAAGUCAAUUCCUUUUGUUAAUUCAAUUGGUUUUGCUUUGGACUUGGAGGUCUUGCAGAUUUCACAGUCUGCUCCUCUUAAAUGCAUUAGCUGGAUCUCAGUAAUUAUGCUUGUUUCCACUCGGCGUGAUAAGUAUCACUCGCUGAGGACACUGUUAAAAAGGUGGCCAGGAAAAUACUGAUUGAACCGCUUCUAACGGUCUAUUAAGUUAGACAAUUACCCUUAAGUUUGAUCUCAAAUCAGGUAGGACUACCCGCUGAACUUAAGCAUAUCAAUAAGCGGAGGA
This 418-nucleotide unclassified non-coding RNA is filed under the name soil metagenome. Its description in RNAcentral is "partial contains 5.8S ribosomal RNA, internal transcribed spacer 2, and large subunit ribosomal RNA". The stretch from base 1 to 120 matches the Rfam family "5.8S ribosomal RNA", at positions 35 to 154 of the family's 154-position model. The record is from RNAcentral.